GACGAACGCUGGCGGCGUGCCUAAUACAUGCAAGUAGAACGCUGAAGAGAGGAGCUUACUCUUCUUGGAUGAGUUGCGAACGGGUGAGUAACGCGUAGGUAACCUGCCUUGUAGCGGGGGAUAACUAUUGGAAACGAUAGCUAAUACCGCAUAACAAUGGAUGACACAUGUCAUUUAUUUGAAAGGGGCAAUUGCUCCACUACAAGAUGGACCUGCGUUGUAUUAGCUAGUAGGUGAGGUAAUGGCUCACCUAGGCGACGAUACAUAGCCGACCUGAGAGGGUGAUCGGCCACACUGGGACUGAGACACGGCCCAGACCCCUACGGGAGGCAGCAGUAGGGAAUCUUCGGCAAUGGGGGCAACCCUGACCGAGCAACGCCGCGUGAGUGAAGAAGGUUUUCGGAUCGUAAAGCUCUGUUGUAAGUCAAGAACGGGUGUGAGAGUGGAAAGUUCACACUGUGACGGUAGCUUACCAGAAAGGGACGGCUAACUACGUG
RNAcentral lists this ribosomal RNA (497 nucleotides) under uncultured bacterium. RNAcentral's name for it is "partial 16S ribosomal RNA". It matches the Rfam family "Bacterial small subunit ribosomal RNA", at positions 28 to 507 of the family's 1533-position model. The record is from RNAcentral.